UACGUAGGGGGCAAGCGUUGUCCGGAAUCAUUGGGCGUAAAGCGCGUGUAGGCGGCCAGAAAAGUCCGCUGUGAAAACUCGAGGCUCAACUUCGAGCUGUCGGUGGAAACUUUCUGGCUAGAGUCCGGAAGAGGAGAAUGGAAUUCCUGGUGUAGCGGUGAAAUGCGCAGAUAUCAGGAAGAACACCCGUGGCGAAGGCGGUUCUCUGGGACGCUACUGACGCUGAGACGCGAAAGCGUGGGGAGCGAACAGG
This 253-nucleotide ribosomal RNA is filed under the name uncultured bacterium. RNAcentral describes it as "partial 16S ribosomal RNA". It matches the Rfam family "Bacterial small subunit ribosomal RNA", at positions 524 to 776 of the family's 1533-position model. The record is from RNAcentral.